This 87-nucleotide transfer RNA is filed under the name Ruminiclostridium cellobioparum subsp. termitidis CT1112. RNAcentral's name for it is "tRNA-Leu". It matches the Rfam family "tRNA". From Rfam's summary of the family: Transfer RNA (tRNA) molecules are approximately 80 nucleotides in length. Their secondary structure includes four short double-helical elements and three loops (D, anti-codon, and T loops). RNAcentral also lists the same sequence under 1 other name. The record is from RNAcentral. Lineage: Bacteria; Bacillati; Bacillota; Clostridia; Eubacteriales; Oscillospiraceae.
GCCGAAGUGGUGAAAUUGGCAGACGCACUGGACUCAAAAUCCAGCGUACGCGAGUACAUGUCGGUUCGAGUCCGACCUUCGGCACCA